Molecule: ribosomal RNA, 129 nt
Filed under: Euglena longa
Lineage: Eukaryota; Euglenozoa; Euglenophyceae; Euglenales; Euglenaceae
Source: RNAcentral
AGGGGUGCUCUUUGAUUUUAUAGAACCACUAAAAUAUAUUCCGAAUUUUAUAUGUGAAAUGUAAAAUGAAAAAUAAUUACUAAAAGAAAUUAAUAUUACUUUUGUAAAAAAUUUUUUAGUGCCCUGUAU